Molecule: non-coding RNA, 463 nt
Organism: Notechis scutatus (mainland tiger snake)
Lineage: Eukaryota; Metazoa; Chordata; Lepidosauria; Squamata; Elapidae
Source: RefSeq, a predicted model, not a curated record
CGUGAACAGAGAAAAGAGUAUAAGUUUUUGGCAACACAAUUUAUCCAGAAGAACAUAAUGUUUCGAUAGUUAAUUCCAGAAGGCUUGUUGGUGACAUGGCAGGAAAAGAGGAUCAGGAUAGAUAACUUAGACAAGGCGCAAGAUUUCUAUGAGCAGAUUGGAGGAACAGAAGAAGAAAGCAGCGGUAGAGAGGAGCUAGAGACAGAAAGCCAAGAAGAACAAUAACAGCAAGAUACAGGAGACCUAGAACAAGAAGGAGAGAACAAGGAGGAGACGGAAGGAAGAAGAUUAAGAACACACCCGCAAAGAGAGACUAGAAUUAAAAGAAGACAGAUAAUAUCCCACAAGUAGAAAGACGGAAAUGGAAAUGAAGCUAUUAUCAUUAAACAUAAAUGGUCUAAACUCACCCAUUAAAAGGAAACAGAUACUAUCUAGAUUAGCAGUCAUGACCUCCAAGUUGGGU